AGCUGCCACCCCUCCUCCUAGAAUAACAUACACAAAAGCUCUUCCCAUACCCUUCUGUAUCUCUCUCUCAAAUUUUUUCCUUUAAAAACCAGUAAUGGUCUCUUCUUGACCCCAAGAAACUACCACCAUCGUAAGUUUUCAAUCCAUCCCAAGCAUGAUUUCUUUGGCCUGUGGUAGGCUACGCCGUUGUGAUCACAAUAACCUUGUUAAACGACGACGUUUUGUGGAUGUCGAAUAGCAUUAUCCUAAACUUGAUGGGAACCACUAUAGUAUAGAUCAUUAAAGACUUGGCCAUGUUUCACACAAAUGAAGAAUUUAUGGUGGAUAAAUUGAUGGGUUUUCAGCUUUGUUGGGAAAUGGGAAGAAGAGGAUCAAAAGAUAAGAGAAGAGUUUUUAGAUUACAGCACACCUCCUCCAGGCUUCCACUCAAUUGUGG
Molecule: unclassified non-coding RNA, 436 nt
Filed under: Hevea brasiliensis (rubber tree)
Lineage: Eukaryota; Viridiplantae; Streptophyta; Magnoliopsida; Malpighiales; Euphorbiaceae
Source: RNAcentral